RNAcentral lists this ribosomal RNA (346 nucleotides) under uncultured bacterium. RNAcentral's name for it is "bacterial SSU rRNA". It matches the Rfam family "Bacterial small subunit ribosomal RNA", at positions 342 to 679 of the family's 1533-position model. The record is from RNAcentral.
AGGGUGGCAGCAGUUUCGAAUCAUUCACAAUGGGCGAAAGCCUGAUGGUGCGACGCCGCGUGGGGGAUGAAGGUCUCUCGGAUUGUAAACCUCUGUCACUAGGGAAGAAACGCUUCAAGUUAACAGCUUGAAGCCUGACUUAACCUGGAGAGGAAGCACCGGCUAACUCCGUGCCAGCAGCCGCGGUAAUACGGAGGGUGCAAGCGUUAUCCGGAUUCACUGGGUUUAAAGGGUGCGUAGGUGGGCAGGUAAGUCAGUGGUGAAAUCUCCGGGCUUAACCCGGAAACUGCCGUUGAUACUAUCUGUCUUGAAUGUCAGUGGAGGUGAGCGGAAUAUGUCCAUUGUU